GACGAACGCUGGCGGCGUGCUUAACACAUGCAAGUCGAACGGAAAGGCCCUGCUUUUGUGGGGUGCUCGAGUGGCGAACGGGUGAGUAACACGUGAGUAACCUGCCCUUGACUUUGGGAUAACUUCAGGAAACUGGGGCUAAUACCGGAUAGGAGCUCCUGCUGCAUGGUGGGGGUUGGAAAGAUUCGGCGGUUGGGGAUGGACUCGCGGCUUAUCAGCUUGUUGGUGGGGUAGUGGAUUACAAAGGCUUUGACGGGUAGCCGGCCUGAGAGGGUGACCGGCCACAUUGGGACUGCGGUACGGCCCAGACGCCUACGGGAGGCAGCAGUGGAAAAUAUUGCGCAAUGAGCGGAAGCCUGAUACAGCAGCGCCGGGUGCGUGAUACCGGCUUUCGGGUUGUAAACCGCUUUCGCCUGUAACGAAGCGUGAGUGACGGUAAUUGGUAAGAAAGCACCGGCUAACUACGUG
RNAcentral lists this ribosomal RNA (468 nucleotides) under uncultured bacterium. RNAcentral's name for it is "partial 16S ribosomal RNA". It matches the Rfam family "Bacterial small subunit ribosomal RNA", at positions 28 to 507 of the family's 1533-position model. The record is from RNAcentral.